Molecule: non-coding RNA, 98 nt
Organism: Triticum aestivum (bread wheat)
Lineage: Eukaryota; Viridiplantae; Streptophyta; Magnoliopsida; Poales; Poaceae
Source: Rfam
AAAGUACUCCCUCCGUCCGGAAAUACUUGUCCUAGAAAUGAAUAAAAUACUUUUUAUUCAUUUCUAGGACAAGUAUUUCCGGACGGAGGGAGUAGUAA